This is a long non-coding RNA of Chiroxiphia lanceolata (lance-tailed manakin), 732 nucleotides long. RefSeq lists it as uncharacterized. NCBI's taxonomy places the organism in Eukaryota, Metazoa, Chordata, Aves, Passeriformes, Pipridae. The transcript has 2 exons. The record is from RefSeq and is a predicted model, not a curated record.
AAAUGGAAAGUUACCCGCUUUCUAUACACACUUGCAUUCAUACAGAAUGAAUGACACUUCUUAUCUGAAUACAAACUGGAGUGGAUUCAUUAUCUGUAUUUAAAGAUGAAAUCAGCUGAAAGCAUAUUACAGCACUUGAGUGUUCAAGUCCCAGUUCAUAAAAAUUUUAUUCUCACUUCAGUUACAAUCUUCCUGCACUGUGUGCUGGAAAGGAACUUGCCCUGAGGCAUAAAUGCAUUGCACAGCUAAUUCCACAUGUCUUCUAAUGAAUGAGAAUCAGCCACAUAUUCAUGGCUCUGCAGCAAAGGUGGGGAUAGGUGAGACGAGGCAUGCUAGCAGUGUGAAAAGGUGUCUCUUUCCCUUUCUUUGAGGCACAACCUUGUGAGACAGUGGAACCCACACAUCUUGAAGCAAACUCUGCUGAUUUGCUAAAGCUUAUUAAAAAGGAUUAGCACGCCUUCUAAUACUCAUCUUCCACAAGGAAAGACCACAAAUCUCAGUUCUUCUGGAAUGUGUCUCCUGAAAAGAUGUAGUUUAGGACCACUACCUCUCCAUGCCCUCUGUGGGCACUUGAGAGAUCAGCCAAAAGGAGCAGACAACAGGCACAAGGAGAAGAGCUGAAGCCCACACUGAAGAGGAACACUAUGUGGCAAGCACAGCUUUAAAGAGAUGUUGCCAAGAUGGCACAGAUUUGGAAAAUAAAUUAAUUUUUGUACGGGAGGAAAAAUAAAA